GAUGAACGCUGGCGGCGUGCCUAAUACAUGCAAGUCGAGCGAACAGACGAGGAGCUUGCUCCUCUGACGUUAGCGGCGGACGGGUGAGUAACACGUGGAUAACCUACCUAUAAGACUUGGAUAACUUCGGGAAACCGGAGCUAAUACCGGAUAAUAUAUUGAACCGCAUGGUUCCAUAGUGAAAGACGGUUUUGCUGUCACUUAUAGAUGGAUCCGCGCCGCAUUAGCUAGUUGGUAAGGUAACGGCUUACCAAGGCAACGAUGCGUAGCCGACCUGAGAGGGUCAUCCGCCACACUGUAACUGAGACACGGUCCAGACUCCUACGGGAGGCAGGAGUAGGGAAACUUGCGCAAUGGGCGAAAGCCUGACGGAGCAACGCCGCGUGGGUGAUGAAGGUCUUCGGAUCGUAAAACGCUGUUAUUAGGGAAGUACAAAUGUGUAAGUAACUAUGCACGUCUUGACGGUACCUAAUCAGAAAGCCACGCCUAGCUACGUG
RNAcentral lists this ribosomal RNA (497 nucleotides) under uncultured bacterium. RNAcentral describes it as "partial 16S ribosomal RNA". It matches the Rfam family "Bacterial small subunit ribosomal RNA", at positions 28 to 507 of the family's 1533-position model. The record is from RNAcentral.